RNAcentral lists this ribosomal RNA (571 nucleotides) under uncultured bacterium. RNAcentral's name for it is "bacterial SSU rRNA". It matches the Rfam family "Bacterial small subunit ribosomal RNA", at positions 338 to 916 of the family's 1533-position model. The record is from RNAcentral.
CCUACGGGAGGCAGCAGUAAGGAAUAUUGGUCAAUGGACGAAAGUCUGAACCAGCCAUGCCGCGUGAAGAUUAAGGCCCUCUGGGUUGUAAACUUCUUUUAUCUGGGACGAAAAAAGGGUAUUCUUACCCACUUGACGGUACAGAGGAAUAAGCACCGGCUAACUCCGUGCCAGCAGCCGCGGUAAUACGGAGGGUGCAAGCGUUAUCCGGAUCACUGGGUUUAAAGGGUGCGUAGGUGGAUAUUUAAGUCAGUGGUGAAAUCUCCGAGCUUAACUCGGAAACUGCAUUGAUACUAUUUAUCUUGAAUGCCCUGGAGGUAAGCGGAAUAUGUCAUGUAGCGGUGAAAUGCUUAGAUAGACAUAGAACACCAAUUGCGAAGGCAGCUUACUACGGGGUGAUUGACACUGAGGCACGAAAGCGUGGGGAUCAACAGGAUUAGAUACCCUGGUAGUCCACGCCCUAAACGAUGAUUACUCGACAUACGCGAUACACUGUGUGUGCUGAGCGAAAGCAUUAAGUAAUCCACCUGGGAAGUACGACCGCAAGGUUGAAACUCAAAGGAAUUGACGG